CUCCUCCACUCUCUCCAUAACUUCUCUUUUCCUCCAGUUCUCCAUCUCCCUCCACUGACACCAUUUGACCACCGCAGGUGUUCUCCUCCACCAUUCGAUCGUUGCCGGCAAUGGCUCCUUGACUCCUCCCCUCUUCACGCUUCCUCUCCAUUGCCACUCCAAUGCCAGCGGCACGAAUCAAGGUGUCGUGGCGCAGAUUGAAGCUUCGGCGGCGUGGAUCUACGCAGCAAGGUUCCUAGCGCCG
Molecule: long non-coding RNA, 244 nt
Filed under: Oryza brachyantha (malo sina)
Lineage: Eukaryota; Viridiplantae; Streptophyta; Magnoliopsida; Poales; Poaceae
Description: long non-coding RNA (OBRA_LNC000603)
Source: RNAcentral